GACAGAGGGGGCAAGCGUUGCUCGGAAUUACUGGGCGUAAAGGGCACGUAGGCGGCAUUGCAAGUCCCAUGUGAAAUCCCACGGCUUAACCGUGGAAGUGCAUGGGAAACUGCAGUGCUUGAGUACUUAAGAGGAUCGCGGAAUUCCCGGUGUAGAGGUGAAAUUCGUAGAUAUCGGGAGGAACACCAGUGGCGAAGGCGGCGAUCUGGGAAGAUACUGACGCUGAGGUGCGAAAGCGUGGGGAGCAAACAGG
This 253-nucleotide ribosomal RNA is filed under the name uncultured bacterium. RNAcentral's name for it is "partial 16S ribosomal RNA". It matches the Rfam family "Bacterial small subunit ribosomal RNA", at positions 524 to 776 of the family's 1533-position model. The record is from RNAcentral.